GUGGGGAAUAUUGGACAAUGGGGGGAACCCUGAUCCAGCCAUGCCGCGUGUGUGAAGAAGGCCUUUUGGUUGUAAAGCACUUUAAGCGAGGAGGAGGCUACCGAGAUUAAUACUCUUGGAUAGUGGACGUUACUCGCAGAAUAAGCACCGGCUAACUCUGUGCCAGCAGCCGCGGUAAUACAGAGGGUGCGAGCGUUAAUCGGAUUUACUGGGCGUAAAGCGUGCGUAGGCGGCUUUUUAAGUCGGAUGUGAAAUCCCCGAGCUUAACUUAGGAAUUGCAUUCGAUACUGGAAAGCUAGAGUAUGGGAGAGGAUGGUAGAAUUCCAGGUGUAGCGGUGAAAUGCGUAGAGAUCUGGAGGAAUACCGAUGGCGAAGGCAGCCAUCUGGCCUAAUACUGACGCUGAGGUACGAAAGCAUGGGGAGCAAACAGGAUUAGAUACCCCGGUAGUCC
RNAcentral lists this ribosomal RNA (451 nucleotides) under uncultured bacterium. Its description in RNAcentral is "partial 16S ribosomal RNA". It matches the Rfam family "Bacterial small subunit ribosomal RNA", at positions 354 to 796 of the family's 1533-position model. The record is from RNAcentral.